CCNCGAAUCGAUCGUUGCAUCACAGGUUGCGGAGAAACUUGCGGGCGUAAAAGAGGAAGAGCACACGUCAUAGGCAUCACAACAGCCGUCUUUGAGUUGUUGUUCAAUGUCUUGAUGUCAACAGGUAUAUUGUCAUGCAUUCUUUCGCUGGUGGUGGGCUAACACGGAUGUUGUAGGCACUGGCAUUGGUCAGAUUUUCCUUUUGAAACAUUUUGUUUUGUGAGCUCAGAUCCAAACCAACCAACCCUCAGCAAGCCCCCAAAACAAAUGAAAAAGUCAUUUAAGUGUACAUGUGUGUAGUUAUUUGCAUGAAAGCAAGAAACUAUUGAAUGCCGGCUGAGAACGUCUGCCCAAAAAGACUUUAUUUAUUUUGCUUCAAUUGCCAAUGUAGCUUGAGUUCAUUCAGGUCAGAUUUAAGCAUGACGUCAACACAAAUUGAAUUUAUUACUUCAUGGCAUAUAUCCGCCUCAUGACCUAGUAAAUGCUAAAUGUCUUUCACGUCUUGCAAAUUUCACUGUAAAUGUUUUCUGACCUGAAAGUUGAUUUCACGUUCAGAAAUGAUGAACCAGAACUCAUCGCUGUCUUGCAUGGCCAUAUUGAAGGGCCUCACUUUCAAUUCUUGCUUUUACACAAACUUUGGCCAAUUAAAUUGACGAAUAUUUCCAUCAUUAAAGACAGCACUGGAAAAGAGACUUUGAGAUGGAAAUUUCAAACUCGCUGAUCUGUCAUCAGAAAAGAAAAAAAACAGCUGGAGAUUUGCAGGUACUUGACCCAACGUGGGAAAACCUCUGUGUAUAAAUUGAAUCACGCUUUAUAAUUUCAGACGCAAAGAAAAUUGCAGGAAACACUCUUAGACUUGCCUUGAUGCAUUUAGGCAAAACUGGAACCUUUUUGGCAUUUUGCUAAGUGCUGAGACUCACUAUUUUUACAUAAAGUGUUGUACAUGUCAUCAGGGUUGGUUGCUUAUGAUAAGCUCUUUACCUGUAGCAGGUAAACGAACAUUUUCAGCAAUAAUGAUGACAUCUUUUGACCGUAGCAGAAAGCAAACACCGUCUCCAUAGACAGCAUGUAAUUUCAGCCAUUUUUUUUCUCUUUCCUAGUCCUAAUUACCUUUCUACGUUGUGAUUUCCCAGGGCGCUAGGCGUCCACCUGUCACACAAGUUAUUAAGGGUGACCCAAAGCAUUGUAGGGACUCAUAAAUAACCCCCCAACUUGUCCAAAUUUGCUGAACAAUAGAAUUCUAACAUGGACAUUACAUUUUAUUUGACUGCCAAGCAAAGAAGUCAACUGCAUUCUCCUAAAUUCAAAACAUCAGAACAAAUAUUUCUUAAUUUUUUCUGGGAAUAUGUUACCCGGAGAGCAGAACCCCACAUCUAUAAGACCCGAGGUUGUCCAUCUUUGAGAAUGCAAUGUACAUGUACCGAACAGUCUAGUGGGAUUUUUGCUCAGAAAACUUAACAGCUGUGUCUGACAUGGAGAGAAUGAUUACUAUUAACCACUCUUAUUGCUUACGAACACAUCUUGGUAGAAGGUACCCUGCUCUGUUCUCUGAAUUAUGGGCUCACUACCCAGGCUACUUACAAGAACCAGUCGAGGACACAUCACAUGUACAUGUGCAUGUGUGCACUGCUUUAUGGUGCGACUUAUCUUUGGACUGGUGGACACAACUCCAUGGCAACCACCCAAGUGUGUACACAAUGCACUGCACGUGUUUUGAAUACCAUUGAAGAUAUUGCUAUUACUGGAGUCCAUAUUUCUCAUCAUUAUCAUCGUCGUCAUGAUGCAGCUAUCUAUAACACCACUCACUAUCCAUCUUCAUCUUGACUUCAUAUCCUCUGCUCUCUUUUAUCAUGGGCUCAACAUCUUUCUUUGCACAGAUUUCACACGGCCCUUAAGCUGUGGCUGGGCAGCAUUUGAGCUUGCAUUUGAUUUGGUUCAAUUAUAUCAGCCUUCCGGUCGGUUUCUAGAUGAAACGUUUGAGAGAUUUUCAGGGGAAACCAUAUCUCAAAUUAAACCAAUACAAUCCUUAUGUUUCAGAAUGAAAGUAAAGCUUUUGAUUUUCUGCAAAAAAAAACAAAAUUGAAGUUCACUCUGCUUAGAUUACACCUUUAAUUUUCAGCUGUUAAACUCACCAAUUUCGAAAUCUGUUCUAAACGGUUUCCAGUGUUUGGCGCAAAGAUUGUUGUAAAGAAAACAAAAAGUCAUUGCAAGUUUUGCCAAUUCCUGCAUGAUUGGAAUUUCAAAAGCAUUGAGAAAAGAUUAUUUUUGCUGCCAGUCUAAACUUUUGCACGGUGGUAUCCAUUUGAGUUUCUGUACCUUUAAAAAUGAGUUGAGGUGAUGCAGUGCUCUCAAAAUUGGGUAUUUUUGUCUGUUGCAUUUUGGUUAACUGAAUAUCACGGGAAGGGACAUAAAUGAAGAAAGUGUACAUUUCAGUUGUAAUACACUAGAAUAGAGCAAGGCCUUGUAUAUAUCAAAUGUGAAUACACUCUAUCUGUACAUGUAAGCAGGACCUUUGUAAGGCGGAAGUUAUCUUUUUGAAUACAAUUACUCAGAUUUCUACUUAACAUUCCCAUGUCUUGAUGUAAUGAGCAGUCUGUAGUCAGUAGAUGAUGCAAGAUUUGAUGAAGUUGAUCUUCAUGUUGUCACAAAUUAUUUUUGUAUUCUUUUCAUUAUGUUCUUUGUAUCAGAGUAGGGAAACAAUAUUACAAAAGCGUAAAGAUUGUCUUGUAUGGGAAUUUUUAUCCCAAAUUUCUAAAUAUUGUAUAUUAUACAUCGGGCAUUGAUGGAAAAUCACUCUAUAAGUAAUAUAAAAAAAAUCAGGGGAUGGAUAUAUCUUAAUCGUUGUUUGAAUUUCAAUGUAGCAUACUUUUUUCACUUUUUUUUUUUUCACAAAGAUGUGCAGCUCCAGUUAAUGCCCAAUUCAGCCACAAAACUGUAAGGGACAAUCAAAUAGGUGUGUGGGUUGGUUGAACUUGCAGGUUUCAUCAGAUUACCCAGAAUUUUCAGAUAAAUACCAUGGAAAUGCAAAGGAGGUAUUAAGGUUUUUGUCUGGUUCCCACGGCAACAUGCAGUUCUCAUACUUUCCAUUUUGACAUCGUUUUCAACAGGUCACAUUUUAAAUUCUUAAUACUUGGAAGAGGUCAGAGUGUAUUUCCUUCUUUUUUGAAAGGUUGCUUACAUAAAAGUUGAGAAGUAAAAGCAAAACAGACUUCCAACAACCUUGAUUCUGCAUUUUAAUUCUCAGCUCAUUUAAUCACUUUCAUCAGCAAAAAGCUGUCAACGUUCUCUCAGUUUGAAAUUUUGUUUUUAACCAAUGUUGAAGCACCAACAAGCUAAACCAUUCUUAUUUCAUGUAUGAAUUUGCCUGUGUCUUGCAGAUUCUCUUAAGCUUUGUUCUAUCUUAGAAAAUAAAAGCAGCGGUAAAUUAUCUUCUGGAUUGCAAUUAGUUACUAAAUGCAUUUAAAUUCUCCAGUACCUUCUGUUUAAAAGCAUGCUGUGCAUUGCUGUGAAUGCCCUUUGAGUUUAUGCGUCCAUUUUAUUUAUAUUUUCUUUUUCACGUCUAAAAGUUACUUCACUGAAUUAGUAACAGACAGGGAAAAGGAGUUUCUUCCAUGUUAUUUAGCAAAAACUGGAGUUGUAAAAAUUUCCCUUUCUCUAACACAAUCAUGCACUUUGCCACUGACCGUUUAUUAAUGCUGCAACAUUUAUCGGCAGUGAAUGGAAUACAUGUAUUUGGAUUACAUACACAGAAAUUAUAACUAAGGCAAAAUGGUUUGAAGUACCUAGAAGUGAGGACAGGGACCCAGUCUGCCUAUAGUGCUUAUUCCGUGGCUUGAGUUUAGAGGAACCUGACUGAUUGCUUGAAAUAAUCUUCCAAAUCCUAGUACUGAAGUUUGCCUGAAAUAAUAAAUGACCACAAGUCCAGUUUUUUAAAACAGUUUGUCAGAAUUUGUAAGCAUUUGUUGCCCAUACAGUUUUUAAAAUCAGUCUUUAAGUCGGCAGACCUAUGCCUAGAAUGUAGAAGAGUAGGCCAAUAUAUGUAAAUGACUCUCCUCUGUAAAACAAGGAUAUAUUUAGAGAAAUAUUUGUUUCCUUGGAACAUCGCGUGGACUGACAAUACCAUGUUUAUUGUGACCUUUUUUUAUAAGUCAUGCUGUCAUACAUUGCAAGUGGAAUAAAGGAAUUAUUAAAUUGAAUACAAACUUACCUACAUUGUAUACCAAGCUCUAUUGUUAAUUACAGAAAUUAUUUUUUUAAGAAAUCAGCUGAUAAAAGGAAAAAUUACCCAGCUGUUGAAAUACAAUCUUUUCUUGAUGUAGCCAUGUUCUGAAAUGGGGCAUUUCAAUAGUUCAAGAAAAUCAGUCCAAAUGAAUGCUGCGUUGUGACUGCGACCAGUUCAGAACCCGGAACUUUCACCCAAACUUAAAUCGUUUUUAUUCCAAUUUGGAGUAAAUGAACCUGGAAAACCCGAGGUCUUUUCUAUAUCAUAUUUUCUGUCCGCUUUCCAAUCACUGGCUUUGGUUUGUGGUUUGUAGAAGUUGUUUCUCAAUGCCAGUACAAGUUCCAUCAGAUCUCUUUGAGUUUGACCGUAUUUUCUUAUUCUGUGGUAUUUGCAAAUUAUAUUUUUUGAUACAUUUUGCAAGCAAAAGGGAAAUGACCCUUACCUGUUCCUUUUGCACACAUCUAAAGAGUAAUGUUUCUCAGAGUUUUGUAAAUUGUACAGAUUGGACAACAUAAUGGGUGGAAGAUUUUUAAUUAAAGAGUAAUAACGAUGGUAUGAACAUUUGCCAAAUGCAAUAAGCUGUGUACCUACAUGUAUGGAUAAACCUUCUACAUGUACAAGUGCGUAGUGUUGGAUGUAGACACUAGCUGUAUUUGGAGUUAGACUUUGGCCUGUAUAUUGUACAUCAGACUUGUAGGAGCCAUUUAUUUCAAUGCUUCAUGGGAUCGAAAACUGAAUUCCCCAAGACUGGAAAGAGUUUUGUGUGUUUAUUUACUCAGAAUAAUCCUUCGAAUAAAGGACUUCACAAGGAAUUUCCAUUAUGCGACAGUUCCGUCAGUAAGUUUGUCCUGACAGAAUAAUUAUGGCCCAGAACAAGCUGGACAGAUACAUGUCUUUGCCUGUCAGAUUAACGUAUUUGUAUAAAAACAUGGCUGGUCUUCCCCUGACAGCUAUUUUUAUUCUCUACUCUUUCAAGAGGCAGGCCUGUGCUGUAUAUGUUUGAAGUUUGUGAUCAUAUUCAAGAAUUUUAACUUGAGAACAGAGAACUGGACUUCCUGAAUUAGCAAUUAGUACUUAAUGGAUUGGGUAAUCAGUGCUCUUGUGCAAGAGUUUGCUAUGUGUGGUCUUUUUGGCUAGAGGGGUUGAGGAAGGGGGUGUAAGGAAAGGAUUGUAACAACAUGUACUUCAACUCUUCGUUUAAAUUACGUUACUAUCUUAUUUUUGGAAUGAAAUAGAAAGUAGUCACAUUUUUACUCCGGACUACAUACACGUAUCAAAUGUUUACAGGUGAGCGUCAUCUGGCAUAGGUGGAAUCUAUUAACUUUUUGUCCAUAAUGCGACCAAAACUUUUUCUUUUUUAUUUGAAGUAACUGUAUGUUUUGCUUUUUGUGUUGAAACAAAGGAUGAUGUAUGAAUAAAACUUUUUGGAAUGAA
This is a long non-coding RNA of Acanthaster planci (crown-of-thorns starfish), 5656 nucleotides long. NCBI's taxonomy places the organism in Eukaryota, Metazoa, Echinodermata, Asteroidea, Valvatida, Acanthasteridae. The record is from RefSeq and is a predicted model, not a curated record.